GGGAGAUGUCGGUUCAGACUGUCAAAAGCAUUGAUUGUCAUAUUGAAAUAGUUUGAAAAAGGCAACCACGAAAAUCACUUCAACAACAACCAGGGAGAGGAGAGACGAGGAAGCUUGACAUUCAAAUCGAUAAGCCAACCUGAUGCAGAAUCCAUACAACAAUUCCAGCAAACUCAACUAUUCCUAUAUAUCUGUCAAUCCAACUAGCAUCUUCGGGUGCAUCUACAUCCACCACAGGUGCACUAAGGAUGUUAUGUUGUGCAAGUAUUUUUACUGCCUCGGCUAGGGUGGCAUCUGAUUUUAUCUCAACUUCUGAACACAGAAAAUUACAACAACAAAAAAGUUACAUUCUGAGGCUGAAACUGAAAAGAAAUUGGCAUUAUCAUCAUAUCAACAGC
Non-coding RNA from Cajanus cajan (pigeon pea), 398 nucleotides. The record is from RefSeq and is a predicted model, not a curated record. Lineage: Eukaryota; Viridiplantae; Streptophyta; Magnoliopsida; Fabales; Fabaceae.